GUGGAUGACAUGAUGGCAGCUUCAUUCCGAAUAUUGGCCCUAACGGUCAUGUAGGAAAAAGUCAGGAUAAGUACAUAAUUAAUGGCAACAGAGCUCUCUUAAAUUUGUUGUCAGCCAGCCAACAGAAAACACCAGUUUCUCUGAGGCACUUCUUCAAGGUUCUUUAGUUCAAACUGUUCUUUUUUUUUUUUUUCUGAAGACUGUGAACCUCUAUGGCCAAGAACACAAGG
Molecule: long non-coding RNA, 230 nt
Filed under: Gallus gallus (chicken)
Lineage: Eukaryota; Metazoa; Chordata; Aves; Galliformes; Phasianidae
Source: RNAcentral